RNAcentral lists this ribosomal RNA (458 nucleotides) under uncultured bacterium. RNAcentral describes it as "SSU rRNA". It matches the Rfam family "Bacterial small subunit ribosomal RNA", at positions 26 to 518 of the family's 1533-position model. The record is from RNAcentral.
AGAGCGAACGCUGGCGGCAGGCCUAAUACAUGCAAGUCGAACGGACCCUUCGGGGUUAGUGGCGGACGGGUGAGUAACACGUGGGAACGUGCCCUUUGGUUCGGAACAACUCAGGGAAACUUGAUCUAAUACCGAAUGUGCCCCCAUCCUUAAACAAGAUGGGUGGGAAAGAUUUAUCGCCAUUGGAGCGGCCCGCGUCUGAUUAGCUAGUUGGUGAGGUAAAGGCUCACCAAGGCGACGAUCAGUAGCUGGUCUGAGAGGAUGAUCAGCCACACUGGGACUGAGACACGGCCCAGACUCCUACGGGAGGCAGCAGUAGGGAAUCUUGCGCAAUGGGCGAAAGCCUGACGCAGCCAUGCCGCGUGAAUGAUGAAGGUCUUAGGAUUGUAAAAUUCUUUCAGCGGGACGAUAAUGACGGUACCGCAGAAGAGCCCCGGCUAACUCGUGCCAGCAGCCGC